GAUACAAACAAUUUCGUAUUCAAGUCGUAUAUUUGUUGUUGUGUCAUUUAUAUUUGCAAUUUCGAAGUAUUUAAAAAAUGUAUGUAAUUUAGUUAUUUUAUAAAAAUUAAUUAAAACAUUGCAAAGUAUUUAAUUAUUUUUAUUUGUUGUUCGCUUUUAGGUAUGCAUAAUCUAUCUUAUCCGUUGCGUGUUGCUAUAGAAGAAACACAAUUCAAAUAAUAAUAGAACACAAACAAAUUAGUACUUUUGCUGUUGGGUUUGAUAACGAAAAUCUUAUAUAAGGUUUAUGCCCAAUCAAGUGUGCACAAAUGACCGCCCUUUAUUAUUAAACGAAUUGUAUGCAAAUGGGUACCAGAUGGUUGGUCUGCGCGGCACUAUAUAGUGACAAUGUAAAUUCAAGAGUAGGUACUUGAAUUUUG
This is a long non-coding RNA of Aphis gossypii (cotton aphid), 419 nucleotides long. RefSeq lists it as uncharacterized. NCBI's taxonomy places the organism in Eukaryota, Metazoa, Arthropoda, Insecta, Hemiptera, Aphididae. The transcript is spliced from 3 exons. The record is from RefSeq and is a predicted model, not a curated record.